This 437-nucleotide long non-coding RNA is filed under the name Salmo salar (Atlantic salmon). Its description in RNAcentral is "lncRNA (ENSSSAG00000089905.1)". Lineage: Eukaryota; Metazoa; Chordata; Actinopteri; Salmoniformes; Salmonidae. The record is from RNAcentral.
AUUUUAAAUCACCCAUAUUGAAAAAAAUGUAGAACAAUUAGACACCCUAUAACCCACACCUACACACUCAUGUAUCAAUCUGAUUGAUGGAUUGUGUUGUGCAGUAAGCAGGUUCAGGUGUAUAACUGUGGCUCCUUCCACCUUCAAAGAAUAGGCAAGAGGGCCAACCAUGGAGAAUAGUAAGACACUUCAUUAUUUCUAUAACUACGCUGUAUUGUUUGUCCUUGUUGGUCCGUUCAUGUUUUUCAGCAUAAAGUACUCUGCAGCCACUUAGUGUGGUGUGGACACCAGGUUAUAUCAGCUGUGUCGGUGAACCCCUCCUGCAUCUGAACUGGCUACAUAGAGGGCACAGCAUGAUCAGAGGUAUGUUUUGAUGUGAGAGGAUGCCAACCCCCAGUCCCAUCAUCACCACCUCACCUGCUUUUAAGAACCUUUGG